UACGGGGGGGGCAAGCGUUGUUCGGAAUUACUGGGCGUAAAGGGCUCGUAGGCGGCCAACUAAGUCGGACGUGAAAUCCCUCGGCUUAACCGGGGAACUGCGUCCGAUACUGGAUGGCUUGAGUUCGGGAGAGGGAUGCGGAAUUCCAGGUGUAGCGGUGAAAUGCGUAGAUAUCUGGAGGAACACCGGUGGCGAAGGCGGCAUCCUGGACCGACACUGACGCUGAGGAGCGAAAGCCAGGGGAGCAAACAGG
Molecule: ribosomal RNA, 253 nt
Filed under: uncultured bacterium
Lineage: Bacteria
Description: partial 16S ribosomal RNA
Rfam family: Bacterial small subunit ribosomal RNA
Source: RNAcentral